Malus domestica (apple) is the source of this 586-nucleotide RNA transcript. RefSeq lists it as uncharacterized. NCBI's taxonomy places the organism in Eukaryota, Viridiplantae, Streptophyta, Magnoliopsida, Rosales, Rosaceae. The record is from RefSeq and is a predicted model, not a curated record.
CAUGAAAAAACCAAAAAGUGGAAGCUGCUUAUUAUCCAAAACACAGAGCUACAGUACCAAGCUAAUGAAUUUUUUCAAUUUGCCAAUACCGCCCCCUCCUUUCUCCUCUCUCCUUUCUCCUGAUUCCUACACUCUGCACUCUCUCUUUCUCUCUCGCAAAACACGCCGCUGCACCUCUUCCUCCUCCUCCUUUUCCUUUCUCUUCGUCGGUCUCAGCGCCACACCGCCGUCGCCUUCCAGGGUUUUGUGUGGCAACCAACGACCGAGCUUGAUCUCAUUGAUUAGGUAGACGAAGAGACGAGUCGGAGCUGUCAGUGGAUUCUCUUCGCUGCCGUCGCGCUCCUUUUUUCUGGUUGUAUGCUGAAAGUGAUUGUCAUUUUGAUGAUCCCAAGGACUUUUAUGAAAAGAUCGAUAGUAGUGAUGAUAAUGAUGAUGAAGAAAACUAAAAUUAUCAAGUUGAAGGAUCACAUGAGACAGAGGCAUUAAGAAAUAGAAUAGCAGCAAGUUUGAUGAAUGUAUCUAAUUAGACUACCUUCAAGUACAUUAACAAUAUUGUAUUAAUGAAUUCUAGCUAUUCAGUCUAAAA